This 84-nucleotide transfer RNA is filed under the name Candidatus Pacearchaeota archaeon. RNAcentral's name for it is "tRNA-Leu". It matches the Rfam family "tRNA". Rfam says of the family: Transfer RNA (tRNA) molecules are approximately 80 nucleotides in length. Their secondary structure includes four short double-helical elements and three loops (D, anti-codon, and T loops). Further hydrogen bonds mediate the characteristic L-shaped molecular structure. tRNAs have two regions of fundamental functional importance: the anti-codon, which is responsible for specific mRNA codon recognition, and the 3' end, to which the tRNAs corresponding amino acid is attached (by aminoacyl-tRNA synthetases). tRNAs cope with the degeneracy of the genetic code in two manners: having more than one tRNA (with a specific anti-codon) for a particular amino acid; and 'wobble' base-pairing, i.e. permitting non-standard base-pairing at the 3rd anti-codon position. The record is from RNAcentral. Lineage: Archaea; Nanobdellati.
GCGGGGAUGCCGGAGCGGUCAAACGGGCCAGGCUCAGAACCUGGUGGCUUAGUGCCUGCACAGGUUCGAAUCCUGUUCCCCGCA